GGCUUGAGGAUGACUGUCUCCUAUGAUUGCUCUAGUUGGAGCAAAAUGAGCAAAUCAUUUCACCGGCACUGAAAGCA
Crocodylus porosus (Australian saltwater crocodile) is the source of this 77-nucleotide small nucleolar RNA. Ensembl annotates it as small nucleolar RNA, C/D box 102. Its record names the gene SNORD102. NCBI's taxonomy places the organism in Eukaryota, Metazoa, Chordata, Crocodylia, Crocodylidae. The record is from Ensembl.